GUGAAUCAUCAAAUUUUUGAACGCAUAUUGCACUCUUUGGUAUUCCGGAGAGUAUGCCUGUUUGAGGGUCACUUGAAACAAUAUAAAUUUCAAGAUUUCUCGGUGUUUAUAAUGGGUUGCCCAUUUAUUGUGGUCGUUUAAAAUCUAAGACAAGAACAUUUUGUUGGGUUGUGUGAUACUUUUGGUUACCUCGUGAUUUAACCAGGACUCAUCGGGCGUGUUAUGAAUUUCGA
Molecule: unclassified non-coding RNA, 233 nt
Filed under: Archaeospora ecuadoriana
Lineage: Eukaryota; Fungi; Glomeromycota; Glomeromycetes; Archaeosporales; Archaeosporaceae
Description: partial contains 5.8S ribosomal RNA and internal transcribed spacer 2
Rfam family: 5.8S ribosomal RNA (bases 1-71)
Source: RNAcentral